RNAcentral lists this ribosomal RNA (1234 nucleotides) under Bacillus sp. (in: firmicutes). Its description in RNAcentral is "bacterial SSU rRNA". It matches the Rfam family "Bacterial small subunit ribosomal RNA", at positions 33 to 1268 of the family's 1533-position model. The record is from RNAcentral. Lineage: Bacteria; Bacillati; Bacillota; Bacilli; Caryophanales; Bacillaceae.
AAGCCAUGGGCGGGUGCUAUACUGCAGUCGAGCGAUCUAGAGGGAGCUUGCUCCCUUAGAUUAGCGGCGGACGGGUGAGUAACACGUGGGUAACCUGCCUGUAAGACUGGGAUAACUUCGGGAAACCGGAGCUAAUACCGGAUAACAUAUGAGACCACAUGGUCUUAUAUUAAAAGAUGGCUUUUAGCUAUCACUUACAGAUGGACCCGCGGCGCAUUAGCUAGUUGGUGAGGUAACGGCUCACCAAGGCGACGAUGCGUAGCCGACCUGAGAGGGUGAUCGGCCACACUGGGACUGAGACACGGCCCAGACUCCUACGGGAGGCAGCAGUAGGGAAUCUUCCGCAAUGGACGAAAGUCUGACGGAGCAACGCCGCGUGAGCGAAGAAGGUCUUCGGAUCGUAAAGCUCUGUUGUUAGGGAAGAACAAGUAUCGUUCGAAUAGGGCGGUACCUUGACGGUACCUAACCAGAAAGCCACGGCUAACUACGUGCCAGCAGCCGCGGUAAUACGUAGGUGGCAAGCGUUAUCCGGAAUUAUUGGGCGUAAAGCGCGCGCAGGCGGUCCUUUAAGUCUGAUGUGAAAGCCCACGGCUCAACCGUGGAGGGUCAUUGGAAACUGGGGGACUUGAGUGCAGAAGAGGAGAGCGGAAUUCCACGUGUAGCGGUGAAAUGCGUAGAGAUGUGGAGGAACACCAGUGGCGAAGGCGGCUCUCUGGUCUGUAACUGACGCUGAGGCGCGAAAGCGUGGGGAGCGAACAGGAUUAGAUACCCUGGUAGUCCACGCCGUAAACGAUGAGUGCUAAGUGUUAGAGGGUUUCCGCCCUUUAGUGCUGCAGCAAACGCAUUAAGCACUCCGCCUGGGGAGUACGGUCGCAAGACUGAAACUCAAAGGAAUUGACGGGGGCCCGCACAAGCGGUGGAGCAUGUGGUUUAAUUCGAAGCAACGCGAAGAACCUUACCAGGUCUUGACAUCCUCUGACACUCCUAGAAGAUAGAUUUCCCCUUUCGGGGGACAGAGUGAACAGGUGGGUGCAUGGUGUCGUCAGCUCGUGUCGUGAGAUGUUGGGGUAGUCCCGCACGAGCGCACCCUUGAUCUUAGUGCAGCAUUCAGUGGCACCUCUAGGUGACUGCGUUGACACGGAGGAGGUGGGGAUGACGUCAUCAUCAUGCCCUUAUGACUGUCUACACGGCUCAAUGAUGGUACAAGGGCACGCAACCCCGCCGAGGGUUUAGA